UAAAUUACGAAAGUAAAAAAGAAGAAAAUUCGUUAAAAUAUCUGCCUAUGUCAGGAUUUGUUGUUGUGGGGUAAUGGCCUACCAAAGCUUAUAUUCUGUAGUUGGUCUGAGAGGAUGAUCAGCCACAUUGGGACUGAGAUACGGCCCAAACUCCUUCGGGAGGCAGCAGUGGGGAAUAUUGGACAAUGGAGGAAACUCUGAUCCAGAGACACCGCGUGAGUGAAGAAUGCCUUAAUUGGUUGUAAAGCUCUUUUAGUAAAAGAAAUGAUGAUUUUUUACAGAAAAAGUACCGGCUAACUCUGUGCCAGCAGCCGCGGUAAUACAGAGGGUACGAGCGUUGUUCGGAAUUACUGGGCGUAAAGCGUAUGUAGGCUGCAAUAUAAGUUUGGUGUAAAAGUUUGAGGCUCAACCUUAAAAAGUCACUGAAUACUGUAUUGCUAGAGAU
Molecule: ribosomal RNA, 445 nt
Filed under: uncultured bacterium
Lineage: Bacteria
Description: bacterial SSU rRNA
Rfam family: Bacterial small subunit ribosomal RNA
Source: RNAcentral